UACGAAGGAUUCGAGCGUUAUCCGGAUUUAUUGGGUUUAAAGGGUGCGUAGGCGGACCGAUAAGUCAGUGGUGAAAUCCUGUUGCUUAACCACAGAACUGCCAUUGAUACUGCCGGUCUUGAGUACAGUUGAGGUAGGCGGAAUGUGUCAUGUAGUGGUGAAAUACUUAGAUAUGACACAGAACACCGAUUGCGAAGGCAGCUUGCUAAACUGUAACUGACGCUGAGGCACGAAAGCAUGGGGAGCAAACAGG
RNAcentral lists this ribosomal RNA (253 nucleotides) under uncultured bacterium. Its description in RNAcentral is "partial 16S ribosomal RNA". It matches the Rfam family "Bacterial small subunit ribosomal RNA", at positions 524 to 776 of the family's 1533-position model. The record is from RNAcentral.